RNA transcript from Prionailurus viverrinus (fishing cat), 3245 nucleotides. RefSeq lists it as uncharacterized. The transcript has 2 exons. The record is from RefSeq and is a predicted model, not a curated record. Lineage: Eukaryota; Metazoa; Chordata; Mammalia; Carnivora; Felidae.
CCCGCCGCCACCGCGCACCCACCGGUCUGGCGGGGACCACGUUGCCCGCACCUCUCCUCUGCCCUGUGGGCAGUCGGUGCCACUAGGAUCGCGCUUCCUCCCCACCUCCCUGCUGGGGUCGUAACCCUGUCCCCCCCCCCCCCCCCCCCCGACGGCGACGGCAGCUGAAACUCUUGUCUGCUCCAGCCUCCAUGAUGUUCGCUACUCCGGCCACCCAGGAACAGUAGAUAUCCCUCCAGGGAGCAAAGGGACUCUCCUCUGUUGGCCGCCUGACUGUUGUCUUUAGGAGGCCAGAGGCAUCCGGUCAUCCAUCAGCUCCUUGCCCGAAGGAGACUGAGUCAGGGCUUUAGGAGAGCCCACGAAAGGCUCAGUGAAGGAGGACUGACAGUUGAUGACCAAAGGUGAGACAUUGAGAGAAGAGGCCCUGGAAGUGGGAGUGUGCCACAGGCAUGGAGGCCACUGAAGGCCACCGGAGCCCCCUGGAGCUUUACUUCCUUCAGGUGCCAUUCUGGGCCUCUGAAGGGAAACCUCCCACCCAAGCUGGGGAUACUAGUUUGAGUAGGAAAAGCCGCGUGUCCUCGAUGCUCUCCUUCUCCAUUGCCAGCUCUCGUGGCCCUGCGGGAGGUGUCCCAGGGAGGACACCUGCCCUGCGGGAGGUCCCUUUGGAGGAGUGACCUAGGUUCAGCAGGGCCAGUCUCAUUCUGCAGCCACUUCUCAAGAGGUUGACAAAGGUGGUUCUUGUUGAAGGCCAUUGGCUCAGUCUCCAUCUCACCGACGUCAAAGGAGACAAAGUGAGGGUCCCCGUCACGCCUGUCAAGGAGGACGUCACCCCAUGUGCCAGCUGUGGGCCCUAAAAAUGGGAAAUUUCAGUACCUCUGCCACUGUCGCAGGGUGAAGGUUCUCUUUCUCCCUUCAGGGUCAAGCUCAUCUUUGGGGCCCUACUUAGCAAUGAGAACGGAGGCCUUGCGUUCCUGUCCGUCAGUGGUAGCCGUGGCAUCUCCUGUUUGGAUCUCCCCACGCUCCUAGCACCUCAGUCCUUUCUUCAGCCUGCGUCCUGGAGAUUGGAAUCACCUAUGCCUAUGUGUGUGGAUUAUCUGCCCUUUUUCAUGCGGACGUCUCCGCCAGUCACCCCCACCUCAGUCUUCACCGGCCAGUCUAUCGCUGCUUCUGCAGCAAGCAUAUCUGCAGAGUCAGCCUCCCAGCCUCCUUUGGAAUUUGGUGUCACUGACACGGACACCACUUCCAUUUUUCAGAAUUUCCUCUUGACGUCUCCCCCUGGGCUCCAGGGAGAACUUUUAUUUUCCAUGGCACUUUCUGGUUCUGAGAACAUGUACUUCAUGCGCAGCGUGGCCUCAGGCUCGGUUCUGCCAGCUUGUCCACACAGUCAGCAGCCCAAACGUGACUUUCAAACUCCCUGACUCUGGAGCCACCCCCUCAGCCCCUAUUGGGGUUCUGUGAUGGGCUGCGGCCUGGAGCCGCCCGACGGCAGCCCUUUUCCUUUUGGAGACUAGGCGGCCCCAGCACAAGCCCCAGCCCAGCCACCCAUAGCAGCACAACUCAGCCGGGCUUAUGGAUUUGAUAGCCCCAUAUUGUCCCUUUGGCGUCCCUGUCAGCACCUAGCCAGCUUUUGGUGACACUUCAGGCAUUUUCCCAGUACUACAGCUACUACUUCUGGCUUUACAGUUGCUGCCAGGAUGCCCAGGACUGGAAUAAUAGCUCACCAUUUCUGAACACCACCGCAGAUCCAUUUGUGUUUGUGGGAUCUGCGGCCCUAAUGGGUAGCAACAGCUCUGGGGUGGCGUUAGCUGCCCAAGCCCCACCUCCAGGAUGGAGCACUCAGCUUUGGCGCGGGAUGAAGCGGUCACUACUUCCUCUAGUUAAGGACUCUUAGAUCCAAGCUUCAGGGUCCUGCUGGCCUAUAGCACCCCGGUUGCCAACGGAGAGUCUACCUCUACAGAGAGCACAUCUGUCCUGGGAGACCUUUUCCUCCCUGUGUGUAGUCAGAGCACUUGGGGCUAGCUGGGCAGAGGGACAUCUGUGACUAUUGGAGGAGUCCGCACCACUGAGAAGAAAUGAGUGUCAAGUGACAGUUUUUUGUCUCCUGGUAGGCCGGUCAGCUGGGGCCCUUUGUGGCACAGCACAUCCGUUGCAGCUGGGGAGGCCAGCGCCAUCCUAUGUUGGGUGGUGCUUCUCUUGCCGCCUUUUGUCAGACUUCCCAGGGUCCCCUGGCCACAGCACGUGGGCUGCAGCGGGAGGGAUUAGUACCAGUCUCGUGCCGGGAGAUAUGUCUGUUCGUGCUUAUGAUCAGAGCAUCCGAGGCACAUGUGGCCAGACUCCCAUCUCUAGAAGCUGCAGUGGCCAGGACCAUUCCUAUGCUUGCAGGCCCUCGUGUUUCCACCUACAGUCAGAGCACUGGGGACCCAUGCGGUGCAAUAGAAGGGGACAUCACCAAACCUGUGCUUGGUGACCUUCCCACCACCAUUCUGAGCUCCUGGGAUGCUCGUGGUCAAAGCACUUGUGUUAUAGUCAGGGUGAUGUUCCCACACAUUCUUAGGGAGGCAUUUCUACUUUUGCUUGCAGUCAGAAUACCUGGUCACCCAGCCAUGAUACCCCCUUUGGCUUUUAGGGGGCAGCACAACUGAGAAAAUACCUAUGCUCAGAGGCACUUUCGUUUCUACCUUUGGUCAGAGUGUUUCCAACUCUGGUGUGGUCAGAGUAGGCUUCAGCUUUCUGUUCGGGGCACCAUCCAGGGCUUGUGGGAGACAGAAGUGAAGGAACACCAAGUCUUCAUCCUCUCAUAGUGCAAGAUCUGCAGAUCUCAGUAAUUAAGAAGCAGAAGCUUCCACGAAUGGAGCUCGCUUUGCUGGGAAGAGGCUCUCCCUUCUAGUUAUGUCAAACAAACUUAACCUCCUCCUUCCUACCACAAGCUGGAGGUCUCACACCUCGGGGGAUGUGUGUGUCAGAGGGUGUGGGGCAGAUGAGGCUGGUCAGAAACCCAAGACUUGAGAAGUUACACUGUGGAGAGUAGAAGAGAGUUCUUUCUGUAUGUAUCAUCAGCUGACCCCUUUCUGACUUUGACCAUUGGUCUGGCCAACCCCAGCUCUGGGUCAGUUUACCCCUCAUUUUGGAACUGGUGGAUGCCCCCUGCUGCUUAUAGCUACCCCUUUGUCCUUACUUAUUUGCUCCAGUGGGCUCAAACUUUCUGUCCCAGAUUACGUGUAUAAAGCUUUGUUCUUGCGAAUUCA